This 24-nucleotide ribosomal RNA is filed under the name Diaporthe rhusicola. RNAcentral's name for it is "partial 28S ribosomal RNA". Lineage: Eukaryota; Fungi; Ascomycota; Sordariomycetes; Diaporthales; Diaporthaceae. The record is from RNAcentral.
CCAACUUCUGAAAAUUGACCUCGA